This 460-nucleotide ribosomal RNA is filed under the name uncultured bacterium. RNAcentral's name for it is "partial 16S ribosomal RNA". It matches the Rfam family "Bacterial small subunit ribosomal RNA", at positions 338 to 795 of the family's 1533-position model. The record is from RNAcentral.
CCUACGGGAGGCAGCAGUGAGGAAUAUUGGUCAAUGGACGCAAGUCUGAACCAGCCAUGCCGCGUGCAGGAAGACGGCUCUAUGAGUUGUAAACUGCUUUUGUACGGGGGUAAACGCAGAUACGCGUAUCUGUCUGAAAGUAUCGUACGAAUAAGGAUCGGCUAACUCCGUGCCAGCAGCCGCGGUAAUACGGAGGAUUCAAGCGUUAUCCGGAUUUAUUGGGUUUAAGGGGUGCGUAGGCGGUCUGAUAAGUUAGAGGUGAAAGCCCGCGGCUCAACCUCGGAAUUGCAUCUGAUACUGUGGGGCUAGAGUACAGUUGCGGUAGGCGGAAUGUAUGGUGUAGCGGUGAAAUGCUUAGAGAUCAUAAAGAACACCGAUUGCGAAGGCAGCUUACCAAGCUACUUCUGACGUUGAGGCACGAAAGCGUGGGGAGCAAACAGGAUUAGAUACCCUGGUAGUC